AUGAAACUCAAGGGAAUUGACGGGGACCCGCACAAGCGGUGGAGCAUGUGGUUUAAUUCGAAGCAACGCGAAGAACCUUACCUGAUCUUGACAUCCCGGUGACCGGGACUUAACCGUCCCUUCUCUUCGGAGCACUGGAGACAGGUGGUGCAUGGUUGUCGUCAGCUCGUGUCGUGAGAUGUUGGGUUAAGUCCCGCAACGAGCGCAACCCUUAUCUUUAGUAGCCAGCAUUUAAGGUGGGCACUCUAGAGAGACUGCCAGGGACAACCUGGAGGAAGGUGGGGAUGACGUCAAAUCAUCAUGCCCCUUAUGACCAGGGCUACACACGUGCUACAAUGGCGUAAACAAAGGGAAGCGAGCAUGUGAAUGUGAGCAAAUCCCAAAAAUAACGUCUCAGUUCGGAUUGUAGUCUGCAACUCGACUACAUGAAGCUGGAAUCGCUAGUAAUCGCGAAUCAGAAUGUCGCGGUGAAUACGUUCCCGGGUCUUGUACACACCGCCCGUCACACCAUGGGAGUCAGUAACGCCC
RNAcentral lists this ribosomal RNA (528 nucleotides) under uncultured Bacillota bacterium. RNAcentral describes it as "bacterial SSU rRNA". It matches the Rfam family "Bacterial small subunit ribosomal RNA", at positions 894 to 1422 of the family's 1533-position model. The record is from RNAcentral. Lineage: Bacteria; Bacillati; Bacillota.